RNAcentral lists this ribosomal RNA (512 nucleotides) under uncultured bacterium. RNAcentral's name for it is "partial 16S ribosomal RNA". It matches the Rfam family "Bacterial small subunit ribosomal RNA", at positions 28 to 523 of the family's 1533-position model. The record is from RNAcentral.
GACGAACGCUGGCGGCGUGCCUAAUACAUGCAAGUCGAGCGGAUGGAAGGAAGCUUGCUUCCUAAAGUCAGCGGCGGACGGGUGAGUAACACGUGGGCAACCUGCCCCUAAGAUCGGGAUAACUUCGGGAAACCGGAGCUAAUACCGGAUAUGAUUACGUCUCACAUGGGACGUAAUGGAAAGACGGUUUCGGCUGUCACUUAGGGAUGGGCCCGCGGCGCUUUAGCUAGUUGGUGAGGUAACGGCUCACCAAGGCGACGAUGCGUAGCCGACCUGAGCGGGUGAUCGGCCACACUGGGACUGAGAAACGGCCCAGACUCCUACGGGAGGCAGCAGUAGGGAAUCUUCCGCAAUGGACGAAAGUCUGACGGAGCAACGCCGCGUGAGUGAUGAAGGUUUUCGGAUCGUAAAACUCUGUUGUUAGGGAAGAACAAGUACCAUAGUAACUGAUGGUACCUUGACGGUACCUAACCAGAAAGCCACGGCUAACUACGUGCCAGCCGCCGCGGUAA